This is a long non-coding RNA of Carya illinoinensis, 492 nucleotides long. RefSeq lists it as uncharacterized. The record is from RefSeq and is a predicted model, not a curated record. NCBI's taxonomy places the organism in Eukaryota, Viridiplantae, Streptophyta, Magnoliopsida, Fagales, Juglandaceae. The transcript is spliced from 2 exons.
UCUCUCUCUCUCUCCCUAGGCUGCCCCAGUACCUUGAUUCGGCAUGCUCCCCACCGUGUUGCCAUAGCAGCCGGCCAUCCUAUUUUCAGCCAACGCAACUCUGGUGUUAUCCUUCAUGUGGCCUAAGUGGGAAAAUGUAUGAAUUGUUUGCUGAUCAUCGCUUCCAGCAAGGUCAACCACAAAUUUGUACCGGGGAAUUUUCACUUCUUGUAGUUGGCUUCACAGUAAUGGCGUGAGAGCUCAAGGAACUAUUGUUGUACUGGGGAGGCUUUAUUGUAUUUCCUAGUGUUGUAAACUGCUUGUACGAUGAAAAAAGGGAAACCCUUUCAUGUUGAAUGCUUCAAAUUAGUUAAGUAUGUAUUCAUGUAGGCAAUGGUCUGAUUCGAGUACUCCCCAAGAUUUUGAACUUGCUUAUGGUUCAUGAAUUGAAAAUAUGGAUUAUGCAGGGAUGUAUUAUUAAAUUGCAGGAUUUAUCUCAUUUUAAUGUGGAUA